CUGUCUGAUUACCUGGGAGCGUCCAUCACCCUUUUUUUACUGACUUGUCAAAAUCAGCAGUGACGUUCUUGUAUAGAGCCUGGGAAGGGGCGAGAUAGUGCAAAGGAAUGGGAGGAAGAGCUACAGCACCUAGGUUUUGUUUUGUGCUUCACGAACCUGAGAGUUUUCUUCUUUUAUGGUAUGUUUUACGUGUUCCUUGUCUCGCUGACUAAGCCCUUCCAGUGAGGAUAUGGAAUUUCCUUCCUGCACAGAAAAAAACUUCCUGUCUCUUGGCAUCUUUUGGAGCAAACAUGCAGGCCCAUUUCUCAAUUGCUCAGCGCAGCUCUUACAGGACCACUUCCUUACUCAGAUAAUGGCCUCAGCCUGCUGGCUAAAUCAUAGCAAGAAGUUUAUGAAUUAUGUUGAGGAUAGAAAUGAGCUUUUGCUAUAAGGAUAGACUUCUGUGUGAUACUUUCUUCAGUGGAUGAGUGGGAUUAUCCUCUACUCCGCUCUCCAGUCACUGAGGAGUCAGCCGUGUGCAGCUAAGCCAUUGGUUAUAUUCCCUUGUUUCUUCACAGCUUCUUUUAGGACCUGUGUUCCACUGGACUGCCCCCGAGGAGAAAUAUACACCUUGGCACAUCAGUUCCAGAAGCUGUAAAAGUGUAAUGAAGUGAA
This 654-nucleotide long non-coding RNA is filed under the name Gallus gallus (chicken). Its description in RNAcentral is "lncRNA (ENSGALG00010019970.1)". Lineage: Eukaryota; Metazoa; Chordata; Aves; Galliformes; Phasianidae. The record is from RNAcentral.